UGAAUGCAUCAUACGUAGUCGCAAAAGA
This 28-nucleotide small RNA is filed under the name Bombyx mori (domestic silkworm). RNAcentral's name for it is "ovarian small RNA-31166". The record is from RNAcentral. Lineage: Eukaryota; Metazoa; Arthropoda; Insecta; Lepidoptera; Bombycidae.